UAACACGUGGGUAACCUACCUAUAAGACUGGAAUAACUCCGGGAAACCGGGGCUAAUGCCGGAUAACAUGUUGAACCGCAUGGUUCAACAGUGAAAGACGGUCUUGCUGUCACUUAUAGAUGGACCCGCGCCGUAUUAGCUAGUUGGUAAGGUAACGGCUUACCAAGGCGACGAUACGUAGCCGACCUGAGAGGGUGAUCGGCCACACUGGAACUGAGACACGGUCCAGACUCCUACGGGAGGCAGCAGUAGGGAAUCUUCCGCAAUGGGCGAAAGCCUGACGGAGCAACGCCGCGUGAGUGAUGAAGGUCUUCGGAUCGUAAAGCUCUGUUGUUAGGGAAGAACAUAUGUGUAAGUAACUGUGCACAUCUUGACGGUACCUAACCAGAAAGCCACGGCUAACUACGUGCCAGCAGCCGCGGUAAUACGUAGGUGGCAAGCGUUAUCCGGAAUU
This 454-nucleotide ribosomal RNA is filed under the name Staphylococcus agnetis. Its description in RNAcentral is "bacterial SSU rRNA". It matches the Rfam family "Bacterial small subunit ribosomal RNA", at positions 111 to 552 of the family's 1533-position model. The record is from RNAcentral. Lineage: Bacteria; Bacillati; Bacillota; Bacilli; Caryophanales; Staphylococcaceae.